RNAcentral lists this ribosomal RNA (406 nucleotides) under uncultured bacterium. RNAcentral's name for it is "partial 16S ribosomal RNA". It matches the Rfam family "Bacterial small subunit ribosomal RNA", at positions 30 to 526 of the family's 1533-position model. The record is from RNAcentral.
AUUGAACGCUGGCGGCAGGCCUAACACAUGCAAGUCGAACGAGUGGCGGACGGGAGAGUAAUGUCUGGGAAUCUGCCCGAUGGAGGGGUAUAACUACUGGAAACGGUAGCCAAUACCGCAUACCAUCUGAUGUGCCCAGAUGGGAUGAGCUUGUAGGUGGGGUAACGGCGCACAUAGGCGACGAUCCCUAGCUGUUCUGAGAGGAUGACCAGCCACACUGGAACUGAGACACGGUCCAGACUCCUACGGGAGGCAGCAGUGGGGAAUAUUGCACAAUGGGCGCAAGCCUGAUGCAGCCAUGCCGCGUGUAUGAAGAAGGCCUUCGGGUUGUAAAGUACUUUCAGCGAGGAGGCGUUACUCGCAGAAGAAGCACCGGCUAACUCCGUGCCAGCAGCCGCGGUAAUUC